UUAAUUUUUUUCUACCCAUCAGAAAAAUGAAGGAUAUUUAGGGCCACAAAAUCUAUUAAACUAUUUUCAUGUCUGUUUGUUUGUUUUUUAACGGGGGAAGGUCCUAAAAAGGCAGAAGUGCCUAGGGCCCACAAAAGUCAUUGUGUGGUCCUGGCGUUGAAAGAAUAAGUAAACAAAUGAGUAAUUAUAAUGACUGUUAAAAAAUGCUUUACAAAUGACAAAAUGCCAGGAAAACGCAGCUUAUUAUUAAAAGCUGACAAUUUUAUUGCUGUUGUAAAGUUCUCUUGCCCGUUAGGACAUUAUACUCUAAGGAGUUUCAAUUAUUUCUCCAAAUUGAAAGGUUUUCUUAGAUUCAUACUCUUUCUUGCUGUGAAAGAAAAGCUUUAAGUGGCGUUAUGUGAGAAAUAUUUUCAUGUGGACGGGGGAGGGGAAGUGAAGGCACAGAAUAUAAAGGCUCUGCUAAUCAGAAGAGCUAUUCCCAUACACCACACCUCAAAGGAACUCCCUGUUUGAAAAGAUGAGUUUCCACAGAAGGUACACCAAGGUGACUGUUGUUUUUACCAAAAAAAAAAAAAAAGGGGUGGGGGGGGAUCCCUGGGCCUUAACCUUCAUCUAAGUAUUAUCAAUAUCCCACAACCUUGGCUCACCUCUGAGAAAAGUGAAGUCAUGUACUUCAGAUGUGACCUGGUGGUACAUUCUAUUCUUUGAGUCGGUUGAUGACAAAUGAAUCCUACGGUUUCUCUCUCGGAAAAUAUAAACAGACGGGACACUGGUGUCCAGGAUAUCUUCAAAGGGACACUAAGAAUGUUCUGACCUGAAUAUGACUUAAGGAGAUGAUACUCAAUAUGAACUUCCUCAUAUUACCAAGCAGCUACAUCCUUAUUCUGCAAUCUUGAAGGGUCUAAUUCAUAUCAGAAACAAACUUCACUUUCUGAAAUUAUUCUCAGUAGAAUCACUUUAUUUAUUUUUAUUAUUAUUUUUUCUUUCGAGAGAGAGCUUAUGAGCUGGCGAGAGCAAGAGAAUCUUAAGCAGCCUCCAUAUGGAGCCUGAUGCAGGGCUCAGUCCCACGAUCCUGGGAUCAGGACCUGAGUGGAAAUCAAAGGUUAGAUGCUCAACCGACUGAGCCAACCAGGCGUCCCAGUAGAGUUUCCUUAAAAUACAACAGGAGAUUUAGAGAUGCUAGAUGGCUUCCUGGAGUUUGCCCAAGCAGCCGGGCCCCUGGGCCCCCACACUGAAUCGUUUUACCACACGGAAUCUCCAUGUUCAGGAGGGCACCCCCAGCCUGUUUGUCGAGAAUGGAUAUAACAGCAACAGAGAGGCUGGUGACAGAGAAUAGAGGUGAGGUGACAUGUGAGGUUGGGGUGGGAACACAGAAGAGCCUCUGGGGAGCGUGGAAGAAAGAGAAAGGGGACAGCCUCCGUGCUUUACGGAGCAAUAGGAGCUAACACAGCUUUACAGGGCACAAGAAGAGGAAGCAACUCAGAAAAUAGACAAGGCAGAAAGUUUUAACAGAACCAUGGGGACAGAGGAAAGGGGACAAUAAAAGUGGACAGAAAGAGAAGAAGGUGAACAAAUUGUGAAAAAAGCUGUGGUAUAAAUGCCCACGAAAGUCCAAGACCACCAGCUCCUGGAAGACCAGCGUUGGGUGUGCAAGGUGACAGGUCGCCUCUCGCCCUAAGCCUCCCAGGGCUCCGUGCAGAUGGCCACAGGCAGACCCCUCUCUGUGGGGAUGACGCACACGUGAGGAUUGUAAGACGAGGCCCUUGGGGCUCUGUUCACAAUAAAAACAUUGUACAGGCUUUCUA
Molecule: long non-coding RNA, 1805 nt
Organism: Hyaena hyaena (striped hyena)
Lineage: Eukaryota; Metazoa; Chordata; Mammalia; Carnivora; Hyaenidae
Exons: 2
Source: RefSeq, a predicted model, not a curated record